Molecule: ribosomal RNA, 253 nt
Filed under: uncultured bacterium
Lineage: Bacteria
Description: partial 16S ribosomal RNA
Rfam family: Bacterial small subunit ribosomal RNA
Source: RNAcentral
GACGAGCUGUCCUAACGUUGUUCGGAAUCACUGGGCUUAAAGGGCGCGUAGGCGGUCCGACAAGUCAGGGGUGAAAUCCUGCAGCUUAACUGCAGAAGUGCCUUUGAUACUGUCGGUCUUGAGGGAGAUAGGGGUGUGCGGAACUCACAGUGGAGCGGUGAAAUGCGUUGAUAUUGUGAGGAACGCCGGAGGCGAAAGCGGCGCACUGGAUCUCUUCUGACGCUGAGGCGCGAAAGCUAGGGGAGCAAACGGG